RNAcentral lists this ribosomal RNA (293 nucleotides) under uncultured bacterium. RNAcentral describes it as "partial 16S ribosomal RNA". It matches the Rfam family "Bacterial small subunit ribosomal RNA", at positions 775 to 1067 of the family's 1533-position model. The record is from RNAcentral.
GGAUUAGAUACCCUGGUAGUCCACACCGUAAACGCUGUCUACUAGCUGUUUGUGACUUUAAGUCGUGAGUAGCGAAGCUAACGCGCUAAGUAGACCGCCUGGGGAGUACGGCCGCAAGGUUAAAACUCAAAUGAAUUGACGGGGGCCCGCACAAGCGGUGGAGCAUGUGGUUUAAUUCGAUGCAACGCGAAGAACCUUACCUGGUCUUGACAUCCACAGAACUUUCUAGAGAUAGAUUGGUGCCUUCGGGAACUCUGACACAGGUGCUGCAUGGCUGUCGUCAGCUCGUGUUG